This 460-nucleotide ribosomal RNA is filed under the name uncultured bacterium. RNAcentral's name for it is "partial 16S ribosomal RNA". It matches the Rfam family "Bacterial small subunit ribosomal RNA", at positions 338 to 795 of the family's 1533-position model. The record is from RNAcentral.
CCUACGGGGUGCAGCAGUGAGGAAUAUUGGUCAAUGGGCGAGAGCCUGAACCAGCCAAGUCGCGUGAAGGAUGACGGCCCUACGGGUUGUAAACUUCUUUUGUCAGGGAGCAAUUGGGUCCACGCGUGGGCUUAGCGAGAGUACCUGAAGAAAAAGCAUCGGCUAAGCCCGUGCCAGCAGCCGCGGUAAUACGGAGGAUGCGAGGGGUAUCCGGGUUUUUUGGGUUUAAAGGGUGCUUAGGCGGAAUAUGAAGUCAGCGGUAAAAAUUCGGGGCCCAACCGCGUCGUGCCGUUGAAACUGAUGUUCUUGAGUGGGCGAGAGGUAUGCGGAAUGCGUGGUGUAGCGGUGAAAUGCAUAGAUAGCACGCAGAACUCCGAUUGCGAAGGCAGCAUACCGGCGCCCAACUGACGCUGAAGCACGAAAGCGUGGGUAUCGAACAGGAUUAGAUACCCCAGUAGUC